Columba livia (rock pigeon) is the source of this 1264-nucleotide long non-coding RNA. RefSeq lists it as uncharacterized. The record is from RefSeq and is a predicted model, not a curated record. The transcript is spliced from 3 exons. Lineage: Eukaryota; Metazoa; Chordata; Aves; Columbiformes; Columbidae.
UCUAUCUUACACUUCUGGUAUUAAGAUAUUAAGAUAGGAUGUUCUGGAGAGUGUCAAAGAGCUGUGUUCUGCAUGUGUUCUCUGCCUCAGAAAAAGAGAGCUGCUUCUGCUUGGCUGAUUGUGACCUGUCAGAUACCUGCUUGGGUCAUCAAUAACAAGAAAGGACUGGUGGGCCUGAAUAGACAGACUGGUCAUGACCUUGCUGGAAUUACCACAAGCUGGGCAAAGUGCCAAAUCUUAUUGCAAUGAGUGGUCUUAUCCUGGGUUAUGAUAGAAAGAUGAUGAUGGACUGCACUCCCUAACUAUCCUGGGAGCUACCUGCUGUCUGAUAUUUUUGUACAGUCUCUCAUUUCUUCUCUCAGCUUGCCUUUUAUCCUUAGAGAUUGGAAAGGAUCCUUCAUAAGCUAUUGCUCUGUGUUCUGCUGACCACGAGGUGUGCUGCAGGGAUGGGGAAAGGAAAGUAGACAUGUCGGCAUUUGCACCUGCAAGUGAAGAAACUAAAGGAAGCACAAGUGGCAGAACUACUGUGGAUCAGGUGACAGCCCAAGAGAGGCCCAGCCAGCCCCCAGUCUGGCUCUCCACUCAUGUUGGAGAAUGUUGUGGAUGAUCCCAGGCACCCCUUUUGCUUCCUUCGAUCGCUGCAUCCUGAAGGAGAGAAGGCCGCAUCUUCCAUGGGAUGUGCCAUAGGACAGGAUGGUGGGCAUCGACGAGUGCUGUGAAAAGGGUUCAAAAUCCACAUCCUGAGUGCAGAAGGCAUGGAAGGAGCUGCAUGCCUACCUCUGGAAGCAGGUGAUGAUGCUUAAAAUUCUGAUGGCUGAAUAACUGGGCCAAAUCCAUGCUGAUCUCCAUGGUCAAGGAGAUUCAUGGAGCAAGAAAGCAGCAUAAACUCAAGCUGCACAACCUGAAUGCAAUUUAUUAGCACACACUGCUAAAGACACAGUCCAAACAAAGGUCCACAAACUCAUGCCAAUUUUUCUUAUACAACUUGGUGGAUUAGUUUUGCAAUAUGUGUUUUUAAGGGGUGGUGUUAUGGCAGAUCCCUUUACCAUAAGUAAAUAAACAACAACCCUUUUCUUAAUUUUGUCCAUUGCUGACCUUCUCUGUGAGUGUAUGUGCUUGUUUAAGAGGAUUGUUUUUGCUCUAGUCCUUCCUGUCUUCCCUUUUCAACAACAGCAACAUUAGCUAUGAAACUGCUUGUUGACAUGCACAGUUCUUGACCUGGAACAGACAUUUUCAAGCUUUUAUCGAAGUGAUAGAAAGCUCC